AGGGGGGCAAUCCCCAAACCCAUCCAAGUUAGAAGAAGCAGGAGCCGGAAGCUAGAAGUGACCUUGAGAAAUUGAGCCAGUUGCUCCUUCAUAGAUCUGCAGAGAGCAUCAGAUUUUUUGAAUAACACACAGGAUGAUGUUUGGAACUAACUUUGUCCUGAUUUUAAGGAGCACGAUGAACCAGAAGUGAGAGGCUGGAGAGGUGGGAGAAACAGAAGUCCUGGAGAAGCUGCAAUCUAGAUCCUCAAUGACUGAGAGCACAUGAGGCAACCUCAACUUUUUAAAGGUUGCUUUUGAAAACCAGGGGAGCUGUUUUAUUCUUCUGAUAAUUAUAAGAAAAACAAGAAAAGAGAAGAGAAGCGUGUCCCUCUUUACCUCCAUAGACCUACUGCCACCCCUGGAAACACACAGGCUCUGUUGCCAGGACCAAGGCUGAAAAAGCCGUUGUGGUGUGCAGUCGUGCAGCUGCAGAGAGAUGUGGACUGUUAUAAUAAAUACAAACAGCUGAUUCUACAAUGCAGGUUCUUACUUUGGGGAGAAGGAAACCUCGUAUGGUUUUUGGUUUCGAUUUUUUUCUAUAACCAGAUGUCUCAUCUUCGGUUACUUUUUCCUGAUAAUAUCUAUUGCUAUUGAGUGUUCUAGAUGUUUUUUUCUACCUUUGAUAUGCCAGACAGAAUGAAGUAUAAUCUUUCUCCCUUGGUGGCAAUUUAAACAAAGAGACAUAUUUCUUAUCUAUUUACUAGUGGUUAAUAUAGCAGUUAAAUGUCUCCAACUUUUUAACUCUUUUUCUGUCCCUUAUUCCUCAGAUGCUGGAAAAACAAAUAAUCUAUUGUUCUAGAUGAUUCCCUGGACUUUAAAGCCACGCCAUAAAUAUCAUUAUUGUGCCUUGUCUGAAAGGACAGAAAAUUUCCAGUAUUUUUGUAAAAAUAGAUAGAUGGAUUUUUGCUCAUGAGGCAUAAUUUUGUUCUUCCAAUAGCUGGAAUUACUCUUUUGUUAAAGAAGUCAAUUUCAUUUUGUUUUCAAAACAAAAAGCAUGCACAAAGACAUUCUUCUGGCAUAGAAAUCCAUCAUAUCAGAAAUAGUUUUAAUCAAGGCAAAGAAGAAGCCUUUAAUGGCAAAAGCGUAUUUAUCAUCUAAUCAUUUAUAAAAGGGUUUUAUUUGACUUGGCUUGGAAAUUGUUUUAGCAGAUUGUAUGAAACAAGGCACCUCCUGCAGACUGAAUCAUAACACAUACAUUUGUCCAAUAUUCUUAGCUAGUUUUAAACAUUUGAUGUGUGUAUGCACAAUCGAAAGGAAGUCAGAAAGAGCCUUUAUUUUUAAUUAUUAUACUCAU
RNAcentral lists this long non-coding RNA (1333 nucleotides) under Homo sapiens (human). Its description in RNAcentral is "HSALNT0086867". The record is from RNAcentral. Lineage: Eukaryota; Metazoa; Chordata; Mammalia; Primates; Hominidae.